This 427-nucleotide ribosomal RNA is filed under the name uncultured Sphaerotilus sp. RNAcentral's name for it is "bacterial SSU rRNA". It matches the Rfam family "Bacterial small subunit ribosomal RNA", at positions 355 to 774 of the family's 1533-position model. The record is from RNAcentral. Lineage: Bacteria; Pseudomonadati; Pseudomonadota; Betaproteobacteria; Burkholderiales; Sphaerotilaceae.
UGGGGAAUUUUGGACAAUGGGCGCAAGCCUGAUCCAGCCAUGCCGCGUGCAGGAAGAAGGCCUUCGGGUUGUAAACUGCUUUUGUCAGGGAAGAAAUCUUCUGGGCUAAUACCCCGGGAGGAUGACGGUACCUGAAGAAUAAGCACCGGCUAACUACGUGCCAGCAGCCGCGGUAAUACGUAGGGUGCAAGCGUUAAUCGGAAUUACUGGGCGUAAAGCGUGCGCAGGCGGUUCCAUAAGACAGAUGUGAAAUCCCCGGGCUCAACCUGGGAACUGCAUUUGUGACUGUGGAGCUAGAGUACGGUAGAGGGGGAUGGAAUUCCGCGUGUAGCAGUGAAAUGCGUAGAUAUGCGGAGGAACACCAAUGGCGAAGGCAAUCCCCUGGACCUGUACUGACGCUCAUGCACGAAAGCGUGGGGAGCAAACA